UAAAGCGGCGGAUUGCUAAUCCGUAGUACGGAUAAUCCGUACCGAGGGUUCGAAUCCCUCUCUCUCCG
This 68-nucleotide transfer RNA is filed under the name Larix potaninii var. australis. RNAcentral describes it as "tRNA-Ser". It matches the Rfam family "tRNA", at positions 19 to 71 of the family's 71-position model. Rfam says of the family: Transfer RNA (tRNA) molecules are approximately 80 nucleotides in length. Lineage: Eukaryota; Viridiplantae; Streptophyta; Pinopsida; Pinales; Pinaceae. The record is from RNAcentral.